RNAcentral lists this ribosomal RNA (522 nucleotides) under uncultured eukaryote. Its description in RNAcentral is "SSU rRNA". It matches the Rfam family "Eukaryotic small subunit ribosomal RNA", at positions 22 to 548 of the family's 1831-position model. The record is from RNAcentral.
AGUCAUAUGCUUGUCUCAAAGAUUAAGCCAUGCAUGUCUAAGUAUAAGCACCUUAUACUGUGAAACUGCGAAUGGCUCAUUAAAUCAGUUAUGGUUUAUUUGAUGGUACCUACUACUUGGAUAACCGUAGUAAUUCUAGAGCUAAUACAUGCAGGAAGACCCGACUUCGGAAGGGUUGUAUUUAUUAGAUAAGAAACCAAUCCAGCUUGCUGGUUGUGUGCCGAGUCACAAUAACUUUUCGAAUCGCAUGGCUUCACGCCGGCGAUGGUUCAUUCAAAUUUCUGCCCUAUCAGCUUUCGAUGGUAGGAUCGAGGCCUACCAUGGCGUUUACGGGUAACGGAGAAUUAGGGUUCGAUUCCGGAGAGGGAGCCUGAGAGAUGGCUACCACAUCCAAGGAAGGCAGCAGGCGCGUAAAUUGCCCGAAUCCUGACACAGGGAGGUAGUGACAAGAAAUAACAAUACAGGGCAUCCAUGUCUUGUAAUUGGAAUGAGUAAACUUUAAAUCACUUUACGAGUAUCAAU